CAGCACCUCAAGUGGUCAGGAUGAUUAUUGGGCCUAAAGCAUCCGUAGCCUGCUUUGUCAGUUUUCGGUUAAAUCCAUACGCUCAACGUAUGGGCUGCCGGGAAUACUGCAAAGCCAGGGAGUGGGAGAGGUAGACGGUACUCGGUAGGAAGGGGUAAAAUCCUUUGAUCUAUUGAUGACCACCUGUGGCGAAGGCGGUCUACCAGAACACGUCCGACGGUGAGGGAUGAAAGCUGGGGGAGCAAACCGGAUUAGAUACCCGAGUAGUCC
RNAcentral lists this ribosomal RNA (270 nucleotides) under uncultured archaeon. RNAcentral describes it as "partial 16S ribosomal RNA". It matches the Rfam family "Archaeal small subunit ribosomal RNA", at positions 477 to 747 of the family's 1478-position model. The record is from RNAcentral.